Molecule: long non-coding RNA, 201 nt
Filed under: Lupinus angustifolius (narrow-leaved blue lupine)
Lineage: Eukaryota; Viridiplantae; Streptophyta; Magnoliopsida; Fabales; Fabaceae
Description: long non-coding RNA (LANG_LNC001863)
Source: RNAcentral
GGAAAUUUUGUCCUUAAAUAAUUGCUGGAAGCUUCAAUGUCUACCAGCGCUUCCACUUCAUGUCAUUGUUUUUAGUGCUUCUAACUGCAGAUCAUUAAAAACUUUUGCAAGAAGGAUGAGAGGGAAGGAUAAAUUUAUUUCCUUCGAGGAUUGCAUGAAACUAGAUGCAACUUCACUCCGCUGUAUUUUGGAUGGCACCCA